AGUGAACGCUGGCGGCAGGCCUAACACAUGCAAGUCGAGCGGCAGCGCGUCCGACCACCCUCGGGUGGUCGGAUGGCGGCGAGCGGCGGACGGGUGAGGAAUGCAUCGGAAUCUGCCUCGUUGUGGGGGGAUAACGUAGGGAAACUUACGCUAAUACCGCAUACGACCUACGGGUGAAAGUGGGGGACCUUCGGGCCUCACGCGAUGAGAUGAGCCGAUGCCGGAUUAGCUAGUUGGCGGGGUAAAGGCCCACCAAGGCGACGAUCCGUAGCUGGUCUGAGAGGAUGAUCAGCCACACUGGAACUGAGACACGGUCCAGACUCCUACGGGAGGCAGCAGUGGGGAAUAUUGGACAAUGGGCGAAAGCCUGAUCCAGCAAUGCCGCGUGAGUGAUGAAGGCCUUAGGGUUGUAAAGCUCUUUACCAGGGAUGAUAAUGACAGUACCUGGAGAAUAAGCUCCGGCUAACUCCGUGCCAGCAGCCG
Molecule: ribosomal RNA, 483 nt
Filed under: uncultured bacterium
Lineage: Bacteria
Description: bacterial SSU rRNA
Rfam family: Bacterial small subunit ribosomal RNA
Source: RNAcentral